Molecule: long non-coding RNA, 618 nt
Organism: Lycium barbarum (goji berry)
Lineage: Eukaryota; Viridiplantae; Streptophyta; Magnoliopsida; Solanales; Solanaceae
Exons: 2
Source: RefSeq, a predicted model, not a curated record
CAGAAAACGUAAAGUACACAAAAUGAAAUGAAAUGCCACUUUCCUAAUCUGCACUUUCCUAUUCCUCUUCUACGCCACUGAAUAGUUAACAUAAAUAAUUUUUUCCCUCGUUAGAUUUUUAGUUCCCUCCUCCUAUUUCCUCCCAAACCCUACCUCUAUUCUGCUCUCACAAUAACAAUUAAGUACAAGAAGCUUUAAUCCCUGUAAGUCUGUAACUUUUCCUUCCCUUUUCUUUUUUGGUACAAGAAGCUUUAAUCCCUAUGGAAACUACAACUACUCAAAAAGUAAAUAGUGAAAAAAAAUGGCCACGGCUGGAAUGCUUCAAUUACGUCGUGCAAUAGUGAAAAAAAAUGAUGCUUCUUGAAGGACUUCUUUUUGUUCUGAUGGUUCCUUUUCUCAGAUUCGGUAUCGAACUUGGACAGUCAAAACAGGAUGUCAAUUCUUUAUUUUUGAAGUCAUUUCCUUCGUGGACCGUAGGAGUUGAACAAUCCACCAACUUAUGGAUCUAUGUUGCUGAUAUCUUGCCCUUUUUAGCGCUUAUCAUUUUAUCUUAUAUGCUUUACAAGAACAUCAGACAUAGUUCCAGUCAGGACAUAUUCAAGUUUGUUAUUAUUGGAA